RNAcentral lists this small nuclear RNA (189 nucleotides) under Salmo salar (Atlantic salmon). Its description in RNAcentral is "U2 spliceosomal RNA (ENSSSAG00000101091.1)". It matches the Rfam family "U2 spliceosomal RNA". Rfam says of the family: U2 is a small nuclear RNA (snRNA) component of the spliceosome (involved in pre-mRNA splicing). Complementary binding between U2 snRNA (in an area lying towards the 5' end but 3' to hairpin I) and the branchpoint sequence (BPS) of the intron results the bulging out of an unpaired adenosine, on the BPS, which initiates a nucleophilic attack at the intronic 5' splice site, thus starting the first of two transesterification reactions that mediate splicing. The record is from RNAcentral. Lineage: Eukaryota; Metazoa; Chordata; Actinopteri; Salmoniformes; Salmonidae.
UUAUCGCCUCGGCCUUUUGGCUCAGAUCAAGUGUAGUAUCUGUUCUUAUCAGUUUAAUAUCUGAUACGUCCCCAUCGGGGACUACAUAUUAAAUGGAUUUUUCGAACAGGGAGUCGGAAAUGGGGCUUGCUCCGUCCGCUCCACGCAUCGACCCGGUAUUGCAGUACCUCCGGGAAUGGUGCAACACUU